UACGAAGGGGGCAAGCGUUGUUCGGAAUUACUGGGCGUAAAGGGCGCGUAGGCGGCUUAACAAGUUGGGUGUGAAAGCCCAGGGCUCAACCCUGGAAUAGCACUCAAGACUGUUUUGCUUGAAUUCGGUAGAGGUUGGUAGAAUUCCCAGUGUAGAGGUGAAAGUCGUAGAUAUUGGGAAGAAUACCCGUGGCGAAGGCGGCCAACUGGACCGACAUUGACGCUGAGGCGCGAAAGCGUGGGGAGCAAACAGG
Molecule: ribosomal RNA, 253 nt
Filed under: uncultured bacterium
Lineage: Bacteria
Description: partial 16S ribosomal RNA
Rfam family: Bacterial small subunit ribosomal RNA
Source: RNAcentral